Vicugna pacos (alpaca) is the source of this 132-nucleotide non-coding RNA. The record is from RefSeq and is a predicted model, not a curated record. Lineage: Eukaryota; Metazoa; Chordata; Mammalia; Artiodactyla; Camelidae.
AAAAGGAGAGAGAGAGAAAAAGAAUUUUAAAAGAAGGGAAAAAAAAAGGUUUGGAAACAGUGUAUAAUGAGUAAUUGAAGAGCAAGCUGAAGUAGUAUAACAAUCGGGUUGAGACGUCUCUUAAAAAUCUUU